RNAcentral lists this ribosomal RNA (400 nucleotides) under uncultured Leptolegnia. RNAcentral's name for it is "partial small subunit ribosomal RNA". It matches the Rfam family "Eukaryotic small subunit ribosomal RNA", at positions 30 to 432 of the family's 1831-position model. Lineage: Eukaryota; Oomycota; Saprolegniomycetes; Saprolegniales. The record is from RNAcentral.
GCUUGUCUCAAAGAUUAAGCCAUGCAUGUCUAAGUAUAAGCAAACUUGUACUGUGAAACUGCGAAUGGCUCAUUAUAUCAGUUAUAGUCCACUCGAUAGUACCUUACUACUUGGAUAACCGUAGUAAUUCUAGAGCUAAUACAUGCGCAAUGCCCAACUGCUUGUCGGAAGGGUUGCAUUUAUUAGAUUGAAACCAAUCCGCCUUCGGGUGGUAUUGUGUUGAGUCAUAAUAACUGUGCGGAUCGCUCUUCGGAGCGAUGAAUCGAUCGAGUUUCUGCCCUAUCAGCUUUGGAUGGUAGGAUAUGGGCCUACCAUGGCGUUAACGGGUAACGGGGAAUUAGGGUUUGAUUCCGGAGAGGGAGCCUUAGAAACGGCUACCACAUCCAAGGAAGGCAGCAGG